GAUGUCAUGCCCAGAGCUGUAGCGGUCAUCUUGUGACCAUAAGGGAAAGGCCAUAAAAAUAGCAGAUAUAUCUGGCCUACCAUCCUUCUGCUGCUGAACCAAUGCCAACAGGUGCUUGGAAUACAGAAGAGAAAUCUCUGUCCUUGUGAAGUUUAUAUUAGAGUGGGAAGAUAAAGACAAAGAAGAAAGACAACUUGAUAGAAAAAUGGACAAAAUGUUUAUGAACUGAUAUUUCCCAGAAGAACACCAAAUGGUCAAUAAACAUAUGUAAAGUUGACCACCAUCAUUUGUCAUAAACAAAAUGUAAAUUCAAACCACAGUGAAAUACCAACUCACAUCUAAUAGAUUGAUAAAGGAGCUUUCAUCCACCACAGGUGGACAUAUAAAUUGGUACAACUAUUUUGGUAAACAGUGUAUAUUAUCUGGUAAAGUUGAAGGUAUAGAUACCUUAUAACUCAGCAGUUCUAAUUUAACAUAUAUAUUCCCAAAAAAGUAUUGCACAUGUGUACUAGGAAGUACAUACAAUAAUAUGGUAGCAUUAUUUGCAAUAGCUUCAAACUGGAAAGAACCCAAAUAUCCAUUAACAGAGAAAUGAAUACAUUUUGGUUUAUUAACAUGGUGGAACAGUAUACAAUAAUGAGAAUGAAUGAACUAUGCAGCUACACACAACAUGGUUGAAUCUUACAAAUAUAAUUUUGAAUGAGUGAAUCCAGGUACAAAAUUAAAAAAAAUACUGCAUUCUUCCAUUUGUAUGUUGUUUAAAAACAGAUUAAAGUAAAUCAUAGUUUGAUAUGUGUAUAGAAAGAGUUAUGUUGAUAAUCUCAAAAAUCAGGUCAGUAGCUGAUUCUUAUCUUGGAGGCUUGCAAGUGAAGACUGAGUAUAAUCAUUUCUCUAUUUCAAUUAAUUAUAUGGUGACUACAUGGACGUUCCCUUUACAGUAGUUCUAUAAUCUAGAAAUUUUAUGCACUUUUCUAUAUGCCGUGUAGAAAAAUAUAAGCUCAUUAAAGUACUUUGAGGGAAAAGGAUUGCUUUGAGAUUGUUUGGGCAGGUUUAAAAAUGUUCUAUUUUUUUUAAAAAAGUUCUGUUUUUGGGCAAGGCGCAGUGGCUCAUGCCUGUAAUCCAAGCACUUUGGGAGGCCGAGGCGGGCGGAUCAUGAGGUCAGGAGAUCGAGACCAUCCUGGCUAACAUGGUGAAACCCCGUCUCUACCAAAAAAACAAAAAAAAAAAUUAGCCGGGCAUGGUGGCAGGCGCCUGUAAUCCCAGCUACUCGGGAGGCUGAGGCAGAAGAAUCGGCUUCAACUGGAGAGGCAGAGGUUGCAGUGAGCCGAGAUCGCGCCACUGAACUCCAGCCUGCGUGACAGAGCGAGACUCCUUCUCAAACAAACAAAAAAA
This 1392-nucleotide long non-coding RNA is filed under the name Homo sapiens (human). RNAcentral's name for it is "HSALNT0340047". The record is from RNAcentral. Lineage: Eukaryota; Metazoa; Chordata; Mammalia; Primates; Hominidae.